RNAcentral lists this small RNA (126 nucleotides) under Marmota monax (woodchuck). The record is from RNAcentral. Lineage: Eukaryota; Metazoa; Chordata; Mammalia; Rodentia; Sciuridae.
GCCAGGUGCGGUGGUGCACUCCUGUAAUCCCAGCGGCUUGGGAGGCUGAGGCAGGAGGAUCCUGAGUUCAAAGCCAGCCUCAGCAACUUAGUGAAGCCCUAAGCAAUUCAGUGAGACCUGUCUCUA